CGUUAAGGAGAUCUUUUGGCACCUCUAAAAAUGGUGCAGAAUAAGGGGUGGGCAAGUCUGGUGUCNGCCGCCGCGGUAAUACCAGCACCCCGAGUGGUCGGGACGUUUAUUGGGCCUAAAGCAUCCGUAGCCGGUUCUACAAGUCUUCCGUUAAAUCCACCUGCUUAACAGAUGGGNUGCGGAAGAUACUAUAGAGCUAGGAGGCGGGAGAGGCAAGCGGUACUCGAUGGGUAGGGGUAAAAUCCGUUGAUCCAUUGAAGACCACCAGUGGCGAAGGCGGCUCGCCAGAACGCGUUCGACGGUGAGGGAUGAAAGCUGGGGGAGCAAACCGGAUUAGAUACCCGGGUAGUCCCAGCUGUAAACGAUGCAGACUCGGUGAUGAAUGGCUUA
Molecule: ribosomal RNA, 390 nt
Filed under: uncultured bacterium
Lineage: Bacteria
Description: bacterial SSU rRNA
Rfam family: Archaeal small subunit ribosomal RNA
Source: RNAcentral